RNAcentral lists this long non-coding RNA (280 nucleotides) under Fukomys damarensis (Damara mole-rat). RNAcentral describes it as "lncRNA (ENSFDAG00000024954.1)". The record is from RNAcentral. Lineage: Eukaryota; Metazoa; Chordata; Mammalia; Rodentia; Bathyergidae.
CUGUAAUUAAACCAAAGUCAAUUGAAAAAUUAGAAGGUCUAAUGUGUGACUGGUUUUAGCUUGACUGUUGCCUGUUGGACGGUGUCAGGCAGCAGCAGGAAGACUUGGACUGGAGACGUGGCCUCUGUGAGGGUUGGGCUACAGCCUGAAUGGCAGCCACUCCUGCUCUCCAGAAAGGGAAAAGACAUUCAUAGCACGAGCGAGACAACACCAUUCCUUCCUUAUAGCAGACCUAAAGCGUCUCGAUUGUCCUUCGUCAGUCCAAGGCUGGAGAGAGAGA